RNAcentral lists this ribosomal RNA (482 nucleotides) under uncultured bacterium. RNAcentral describes it as "partial 16S ribosomal RNA". It matches the Rfam family "Bacterial small subunit ribosomal RNA", at positions 30 to 507 of the family's 1533-position model. The record is from RNAcentral.
AUUGAACGCUGGCGGCAUGCUUUACACAUGCAAGUCGAACGGUAACAGGCCGCAAGGUGCUGACGAGUGGCGCACGGGUGAGUAAUGCAUCGGAACGUGCCCAGUCGUGGGGGAUAACUACUCGAAAGAGUAGCUAAUACCGCAUACGAUCUAUGGAUGAAAGCGGGGGACCGUAAGGCCUCGCGCGAUUGGAGCGGCCGAUGUCAGAUUAGGUAGUUGGUGGGGUAAAGGCUCACCAAGCCAACGAUCUGUAGCUGGUCUGAGAGGACGGCCAGCCACACUGGGACUGAGACACGGCCCAGACUCCUACGGGAGGCAGCAGUGGGGAAUUUUGGACAAUGGGCGCAAGCCUGAUCCAGCAAUGCCGCGUGCAGGAAGAAGGCCUUCGGGUUGUAAACUGCUUUUGUACGGAACGAAACGGCUCUGGUUAAUACCCGGGGCUAAUGACGGUACCGGAAGAAUAAGCACCGGCUAACUACGUG